GAUGAAGAACGUAGCGAAAUGCGAUACGUAAUGUGAAUUGCAGAAUUCAGUGAAUCAUCGAGUCUUUGAACGCACAUUGCGCCCUCUGGUAUUCCGGAGGGCAUGCCUGUCCGAGCGUCAUUGCUGCCCUCAAGCACGGCUUGUGUGUUGGGCCCCGCCCCCCGAUCCCGGGGGGCGGGCCCGAAAGGCAGCGGCGGCACCGCGUCCGGUCCUCGAGCGUAUGGGGCUUUGUCACCCGCUCUGUAGGCCCGGCCGGCGCCUGCCGAUCAACCAAACUUUUUUCCAGGUUGACCUCGGAUCAGGUAGGGAUGCCCGCUGAACUUAAGCAUAUCAAUAAGCGGAGGA
This 345-nucleotide unclassified non-coding RNA is filed under the name soil metagenome. Its description in RNAcentral is "partial contains 5.8S ribosomal RNA, internal transcribed spacer 2, and large subunit ribosomal RNA". The stretch from base 1 to 120 matches the Rfam family "5.8S ribosomal RNA", at positions 35 to 154 of the family's 154-position model. The record is from RNAcentral.